Molecule: long non-coding RNA, 974 nt
Organism: Lucilia sericata (common green bottle fly)
Lineage: Eukaryota; Metazoa; Arthropoda; Insecta; Diptera; Calliphoridae
Exons: 3
Source: RefSeq, a predicted model, not a curated record
UGUCAUAGUCCAACUUCUUAUUAUUCUUUGGCUACCGUAUUUACUUUAUAAAUCCGAGGUUUUUGUUUACUUUUUAUUUUUUCAUUUUAAAAAUAUAAAAUGGAAAAUAUUUUUCAAACUAAAUUAAAAUAUUAUUCAACAUAAAAUUCCAAUAGCAAAGAAAAUAAUAAAAAUGUUAAAAGGUCCUUGCGAACGGACUUCGUUGAUUUCAAGUUUGCUUUUUCUUAUGAUUGUUGUAUUCUGCUGGUAUUUUGUUUUAGUACCAACGUACUAAAUAUGUGUCCGGUAAGAUUCUUCACAGUUCUCACAUUUCUCGGAUGAACAUAUCUUGCGCUGUCAAACAUGUCCAAGUAAGAAAGAAGAUGUCUUCCUGUGUCAUUUGUUCUAUGCUGAUUUGUGAAAAUCUGAUGAUGAUCUCUUUCAGUUAAAUUAAUGUAUUUAAACAAAACAGAUUUAAAAAUGCGAGUAUAGCGACAAAAUUCAACGUAAACAACUGCAAGAAGUGUUAUUUUGGGGUUUAAUGUAAAUAAAUCGUGGACAUUCGUUUUAAAUUUAGGACAACUUAAGGACACAUGCCAAUCAAAUCCUCUGGAUGUCGACUUCAAUUCAAAAGAAUUUAUGGUUUACAGACCGACUUACAACAAUGCUACUUGAGUUACUCUUCUCAAAAUAUAAAUUGUACCUAAUGUCAUAUCAUAUGAUAUUACCCAAAAUAUUUGGGGUUUAGUGUGGUCCGUUUAUGAGCUGGACCGUUUUUAUGAAAAUAUUGUUAGUGCACACAAUUUUAAAUGAUUAAUUUAAAAGUUAUACGCAGCUUCAAAAAUAUUUUUGUUUUAUGAUGGUUCCCAAAAUGUUUUGAGUCUAUCGAUGGCCGAUGAGUGGUUACAAAAAAGACACUUUUUAGUAUUUUUUAAAAUUGUUCAGUUUUUCUUAAACAAUAUAUACAACAUGAGUAUAAUUUGAAUGUUUUUAUA